Small nuclear RNA from Pongo abelii (Sumatran orangutan), 186 nucleotides. Its record names the gene U2. It matches the Rfam family "U2 spliceosomal RNA". Rfam says of the family: U2 is a small nuclear RNA (snRNA) component of the spliceosome (involved in pre-mRNA splicing). Complementary binding between U2 snRNA (in an area lying towards the 5' end but 3' to hairpin I) and the branchpoint sequence (BPS) of the intron results the bulging out of an unpaired adenosine, on the BPS, which initiates a nucleophilic attack at the intronic 5' splice site, thus starting the first of two transesterification reactions that mediate splicing. NCBI's taxonomy places the organism in Eukaryota, Metazoa, Chordata, Mammalia, Primates, Hominidae. The record is from Ensembl.
AUAGCUUUUCAGCCUUUUGGCUAAGAUCAAGUAUAGUUACGUUUUUAUCAGUUUAAUAUCUAGAAUGUCUUCUAUCCAAAGACAAUUUUUUUUUUUUUUGAGAUGGAUUUUCGCUCUUGUUGCCCAGGCUAGAGUGCAAUGGCAUGAUCUCGGCUCACCACAACCUCCGCCUCCCGGGUUCAAAGA